UGAGGAAUAUUGCACAAUGGCGGAAACUCUGAUGCAGCAACGCCGCGUGGAGGAUGACGCAUUUCGGUGUGUAAACUCCUUUUAAGAGGGAAGAUUAUGACGGUACCUCUUGAAUAAGCACCGGCUAACUCCGUGCCAGCAGCCGCGGUAAUACGGAGGGUGCAAGCGUUACUCGGAAUCACUGGGCGUAAAGGGUGCGUAGGCUGACUUUUAAGUCAGGUGUGAAAUCCAAUGGCUUAACCAUUGAACUGCACCUGAAACUGGGAGUCUAGAGUUCAGAAGGGGCAGAUGGAAUUAGUGGUGUAGGGGUAAAAUCCGUAGAUAUCACUAGGAAUAUCAAAAGCGAAGGCGAUCUGCUGGGAUGAUACUGACGCUGAGGCACGGAAGCGUGGGGAGCAAACAG
Molecule: ribosomal RNA, 403 nt
Filed under: uncultured bacterium
Lineage: Bacteria
Description: bacterial SSU rRNA
Rfam family: Bacterial small subunit ribosomal RNA
Source: RNAcentral